Molecule: long non-coding RNA, 242 nt
Organism: Homalodisca vitripennis (glassy-winged sharpshooter)
Lineage: Eukaryota; Metazoa; Arthropoda; Insecta; Hemiptera; Cicadellidae
Exons: 3
Source: RefSeq, a predicted model, not a curated record
UCUACCUGAGUUACUCGUUCAAACUAAGGGGGAAGGUCAAGGUCAAGUUCCCAACAUGUAAGGACAUCACCACGACAAGUGCAGAGUUGGAGUUUGAGUUGGUGUUGGUGAAUCCAGUGUUGGCGAGGAACACCUAGCCACGGAUAACUUGCCAGGAGAUAAUCUCUACAUAUGGGAAUACCUGCAGCAGAUUAAAACUUGAUGGCUAAAAGCGGACCUCGAAAAGAUUACAUUGUGCGGUG